CGGUGCCUCCGGCGUCCUAGAGCGGCCGCGGGCAGCCGGCGCUGGGCCGGGGUCCUGGGGCUAGUCUCGCGGGUCCUGAGCUCCGCCGCCUGCUUCCGGUCCUGGAAGAUGCCGGCGGUCUUUCGCUCGGGGACGCUGGCCCCGAGUCCUCUCGUCAGGUGGCGACGCCCAGGCGGGGCGGCUCCCUCUGAGGAGUCGGGUUCCGCCUGUUAGGCCCCCGCGGCCUCCGCCUCGAGCCUCCUCCAGCCGCGGAGACGAGCUUGUCUGCGGCGGGCCGGCGGGCGGAGGGCGCGCCUGUGGGCGCCGCGUGGGUAACGAGGCCCCGCGCCCAGGAGGGCCGGCUCCCGGGCCGGGCGCGCUCCGUCUCGUGUCGCCUGACUUCGGGCGGCCUGGUGAGCCUUCCCGAGUUUUCUGAACGUAAACGUGAAGUCGCUCAGUCGUGUCCGACUCUUUGCGACCCCAUGGACUGUAGCCUAUCAGGCUCCUCUGUCCAUGGGAUUUUCCAGGCAAGAGUACUGGAGUGGGUUGCCAUUGCCUUCCCCAAGGGAUCUUCCCAACCCAGGGAUCGAACUCGGGUCUCCCGCAUCGUAGACAAACGCUUUACUGUCUGAGCCGCCAGGGAAGUUUUCUAGACCCCUCAAUACCGGCUUCCAUACGUAGCGGGCUUUGUGAGAAAGAACUGAAAAAAUAGGUGUGGACGUGAGUCAGUGCUGUUUACUUCUUGACCGCUUCCUGUGGGCCUGGUAUUAUUAACCGCUAAACACGGAAACACUUCUUUUCAGUAAAUGCUUGGAGAUUGCGUGCUGUGCGGCAAUCAACACUGCAAGGCGCCUGCAAUGCUGCGAGUGGUCAUGUAUGGAUGUGAGAGUUGGACUAUAAAAAAAGCUGAGCACCGAAGAAUUGAUGCUUUUGAACUGUGGUGUUGGAGAAGACUCUUGAGAGUGCCUUGGACUGCAAGGAGAUCCAACCAGUCCAUCCUAAAGGAGAUCAGUCCUGGGUGUUCAUUGGAAGGACUGAUGUUGAAGCUGAAGGAGAAGGGGGACGACAGAGGAUGAGAUGGUUGGAUGGCAUCACCGACUCAAUGGAUGUGAGUUUGAGCAAGCUUCAGGAGUUGGUGAUGGACAGGGAGGCCUGGAGUGCUGUGGUUCACGGGGUCGCAGAGUCAGACACGACUGAGCAACUGAACUGAAGACAUGAUAUAAAAAUUUUAAAUCCUACAUAUAAAGUAGUAAAAAUAGCUGGUCUCAGAUUUUCUUAAUUGUUUUCAAAAAUGAGAAAACAGAACCUGACUACCAUGGACUGGAUAGGAAUGCAGGACUUCAUUUCUUAUCGUACUAUGUCUAUAUUAAUGGAAAAAUAACCUCAGCAUAUAGACUUCUGGAUAUUACAUUUUCAUAAACACAAGCA
Molecule: long non-coding RNA, 1407 nt
Organism: Bos taurus (domestic cattle)
Lineage: Eukaryota; Metazoa; Chordata; Mammalia; Artiodactyla; Bovidae
Source: Ensembl